Long non-coding RNA from Spinacia oleracea (spinach), 691 nucleotides. RefSeq lists it as uncharacterized. The transcript has 2 exons. The record is from RefSeq and is a predicted model, not a curated record. NCBI's taxonomy places the organism in Eukaryota, Viridiplantae, Streptophyta, Magnoliopsida, Caryophyllales, Amaranthaceae.
UGAACUCCUACUAAACUCCAACCCACGUUAGUGCGCCGUAUACAUCCCCCUUUUCUUUCUCUCUCUCUCUCUUCAAUUUCCCUCAUCUCCCCAGCUCCCCUUCUCUUUCUCUCUCUUCAACCUCCCUCAAUAUCUCUCUCAUCUUUUUUUUCUUUUCUUCCGACACUCAUAUCUCUUCAACCUCCCUCAAUCUCUUCUCUCUAGCUUUUUCUUCUGUUUCUAUUUUUUUUUCAAUUUCAUUUUCAACUCUUUCAUUUAAUUAAUUUCAAUGAUUUGAUUUUUUCUUAUAUAUAUAUUUUUUUUGUUUAAAUUUAAAUCUGAUGAGUUUGUGUGUGCUGAAUUGUUUAUGUAGGUGAAGAAUUUGAGUAAAUCUUCGAUAUGAAUUAAGGAGUCAAGUAUUGAAGAACAAAGCUCUAAAGAGCAGAUAUGGAAGGGAAAUACUUGGAGGUGAAGAAGGAGAAUAGAUCUUGUAUGUGUUUUCACAAUAAGGGAUUUAAUCUCGUCAUUUGUUGAUAGCAGGAAUCGUUGAUUUGAUAAAUUUGGGGAGAACAAGGACGGAAAUAAAUUCAAGUAUACAUAGUAUGAGGUUUAUGUUUAGUUUUAGAUCGAUUUUUUUUUUAGAAUUAUUCAUACUCAUCUUUGUAAUUGUAAUUCAAGUGAAUUAUGUCAUAAUAAAAGUUCCUUUUUGUUA